UGAGAAGAAAGCUGACCAGGUGUUUUAGAAUUUGAGGAAGUCAUAUCAAAGUGGGAUAUUUGACUAUCUAGGAAGACCCUAAACAGAUUUAAAAAAAAUACUCAAAAAUGAUAUUGAAAGAUGGGACUCUUUAUAUGACAUCUCUGAAAUACCUCAAGUACCACUCCAGUUCUCUUCGCCGAGCAGAUCAAAGAGGACUUGAGCCAAGACCCACUGAAAGCAGUGGAAUAUAUCAGGAGAGCUGCCGGAAGGGACUCUGUCGUGUAUGCCUCGGGACCUGUCCAGCCUGGCAUCUUAGCUCAGACCGUUGGCAGAGGUGGGUUUGAACCAAGACAUCUGACCUCGUGCUGGAGCUCCYGUAGCUCAGGCACGUAUUCCCUUCYGCUGACUCCGCAGUUGCGGUCGUGUCCUCCAGGACAGCCAUGGAACAGGCAUGGGCAGUAGUUUCUUAGACUGUUGCACCAAAUCGCUAGAGCUCAUCUUCCGGUUUAUUAAAUAUUAAUUAGAUACACACA
RNAcentral lists this long non-coding RNA (515 nucleotides) under Dromaius novaehollandiae (emu). RNAcentral's name for it is "lncRNA (ENSDNVG00000004239.1)". The record is from RNAcentral. Lineage: Eukaryota; Metazoa; Chordata; Aves; Casuariiformes; Dromaiidae.